RNAcentral lists this ribosomal RNA (439 nucleotides) under uncultured bacterium. RNAcentral's name for it is "bacterial SSU rRNA". It matches the Rfam family "Bacterial small subunit ribosomal RNA", at positions 338 to 795 of the family's 1533-position model. The record is from RNAcentral.
CCUACGGGUGGCAGCAGUGGGGAAUUUUGGACAAUGGCGCAAGCCUGAUCCAGCCAUGCCGCGUGAGUGAAGAAGGCCUUAGGGUUGUAAAGCUCUUUCACCGGUGAAGAUAAUGACGGUACCCGUAGAAGAAGCCCCGGCUAACUUCGUGCCAGCAGCCGCGGUAGUACGAAGGGGGCUAGCGUUGCUCUGAAUGACUGGGCGUAAAGGGCGCGUAGGCGGUUUAUGCAGUCAGAUGUGAAAUCCCCGGGCUUAACCUGGGAACUGCAUUUGAGACGCAUAGACUAGAGGUCGAGAGAGGGUUGUGGAAUUCCCAGUGUAGAGGUGAAAUUCGUAGAUAUUGGGAAGAACACCGGUGGCGAAGGCGGCAACCUGGCUCGAUAUUGACGCUGAGGCGCGAAAGCGUGGGGAGCAAACAGGAUUAGAUACCCGCGUAGUC